GAUGAACGCUGGCGGCGUGCCUAAUACAUGCAAGUCGAGCGAACAGACGAGGAGCUUGCUCCUCUGACGUUAGCGGUGGACGGGUGAGUAACACGUGGAUAACCUACCUAUAAGACUGGGAUAACUUCGGGAAACCGGAGCUAAUACCGGAUAAUAUAUUGAACCGCAUGGUUCAAUAGUGAAAGACGGUUUUGCUGUCACUUAUAGAUGGAUCCGCGCCGCAUUAGCUAGUUGGUAAGGUAACGGCUUACCAAGGCAACGAUGCGUAGCCGACCUGAGAGGGUGAUCGGCCACACUGGAACUGAGACACGGUCCAGACUCCUACGGGAGGCAGCAGUAGGGAAUCGUCCGCAAUGGGCGAAAGCCUGACGGAGCAACGCCGCGUGAGUGAUGAAGGUCUUCGGAUCGUAAAACUCUGUUAUUAGGGAAGAACAAAUGUGUAAGUAACUAUGCACGUCUUGACGGUACCUAAUCAGAAAGCCACGGCUAACUACGUG
This 497-nucleotide ribosomal RNA is filed under the name uncultured bacterium. RNAcentral's name for it is "partial 16S ribosomal RNA". It matches the Rfam family "Bacterial small subunit ribosomal RNA", at positions 28 to 507 of the family's 1533-position model. The record is from RNAcentral.